This 465-nucleotide ribosomal RNA is filed under the name uncultured Klebsiella sp. Its description in RNAcentral is "bacterial SSU rRNA". It matches the Rfam family "Bacterial small subunit ribosomal RNA", at positions 338 to 795 of the family's 1533-position model. Lineage: Bacteria; Pseudomonadati; Pseudomonadota; Gammaproteobacteria; Enterobacterales; Enterobacteriaceae. The record is from RNAcentral.
CCUACGGGUGGCAGCAGUGGGGAAUAUUGCACAAUGGGCGCAAGCCUGAUGCAGCCAUGCCGCGUGUGUGAAGAAGGCCUUCGGGUUGUAAAGCACUUUCAGCGGGGAGGAAGGCGGUGAGGUUAAUAACCUCAUCGAUUGACUUUACCCGCAGAAGAAGCACCGGCUAACUCCGUGCCAGCAGCCGCGGUAAUACGGAGGGUGCAAGCGUUAAUCGGAAUUACUGGGCGUAAAGCGCACGCAGGCGGUCUGUCAAGUCGGAUGUGAAAUCCCCGGGCUCAACCUGGGAACUGCAUUCGAAACUGGCAGGCUAGAGUCUUGUAGAGGGGGGUAGAAUUCCAGGUGUAGCGGUGAAAUGCGUGGAGAUCUGGAGGAAUACCGGUGGCGAAGGCGGCCCCCUGGACAAAGACUGACGCUCAGGUGCAAAAGCGUGGGGAGCAAACAGGAUUAGAUACCCCGGUAGUC